AGCAGUAGCCGCGGUAAUACGUAGGGUGCAAGCGUUAAUCGGAAUUACUGGGCGUAAAGCGUGCGCAGGCGGUUAUAUAAGACAGAUGUGAAAUCCCCGGGCUCAACCUGGGAACUGCAUUUGUGACUGUAUAGCUAGAGUACGGCAGAGGGGGAUGGAAUUCCGCGUGUAGCAGUGAAAUGCGUAGAUAUGCGGAGGAACACCGAUGGCGAAGGCAAUCCCCUGGGCCUGUACUGACGCUCAUGCACGAAAGCGUGGGGAGCAAACAGGAUUAGAUACCCCGGUAGUCCCUGUCUCUUAUAA
This 303-nucleotide ribosomal RNA is filed under the name uncultured bacterium. RNAcentral describes it as "partial 16S ribosomal RNA". It matches the Rfam family "Bacterial small subunit ribosomal RNA", at positions 507 to 809 of the family's 1533-position model. The record is from RNAcentral.